Maniola jurtina (meadow brown) is the source of this 1373-nucleotide long non-coding RNA. RefSeq lists it as uncharacterized. The record is from RefSeq and is a predicted model, not a curated record. NCBI's taxonomy places the organism in Eukaryota, Metazoa, Arthropoda, Insecta, Lepidoptera, Nymphalidae. The transcript has 2 exons.
UAUAUAACUAUACCUAUAAGUAUGGAAUGUAUUUUCUUGAAUGACUAAAUUCUAUUUAUAAGCUUAUGAUCCAAAAACAUUUCGUGGAAAAAAUUUAAGUAGGUAGAUAGAUACUAAUAGAUAAUUCAUCGAUAUCAUCACGCCAAAAAUAUGUAGGUAGGUAUAUGAUUGGUUUAUCGAAUAAAGUCUAUAAUCUAAUCUAAGUACACCAGGAACACAAAAUUUAUGACCAAAUUGUAAAUGGCAUUGUAAAUUGUAAAUGGAUUUAUUGGCAGUAAAUUAAUCUAGUCAAACGUCAAAACAGAGCAGUAAAGGCAACAGAUUUGUUUUUGUAACAAAAUGGGUGCCUCCUGUAGCUGCGAUUGCAACCCUUGUCCGUGCUGCGACUGCAACGCAUGCUGCCCAUGUAGCUCGUGUUGCGCUGAAUGCUGUCCAUGCUGCCAGUGUUGCUGCGACAACAACAACGGUGUGCACGUCGUUGACCACCCGGGAGUGAUUGUCGUUGACCAACCUACGCUCAGAUGAUCAAAAUUAUCUAGUACGACCCGACAAAGUUAACUUGGUCCAUAAUAGGAUGACUGGGUGGAGAUAAAAUAGAAAAAUCCAAAAACAAAACCCAAAAAUAAAUACAUUGUGUUUGCUUUUUAAAUGUUUUACAAACUAAUUAAUUAGGAAGGAUGUAUUCCGUCCGUCUCAAGUUAACUUUGACGGCUACUUAUUCAAUAAGGGAUGUUUAUAGAGUUUUUUAGUUUUAAAUAUUUUAUUUAUUUUGUCAUCUCAGAUGGGACGAAUCAAACGAGUGCAUACUGUUAUCAUUUCCAUUAUUUUUGUUUAUUUAUUAAGUUAUAAUUAAUGAAAAUAUGAAACAUAAAAUAUCGAACUGUGUAUCGAGCUGUAAAUUGAAAUAAAGAUUUUCAUUGCGAUUCACUUUACGAGUUAUUUAAAAACACCUUUUCUAGAGAAAAUGUGUUUUUAAAUGACUCGUAAAGUGAAUAACUCUACUCUCUAACGAGAUACAGUUUUGUUCAUAAAUAAAGGGUUAUGUUUUGUCAUUUUGAAAACCAGAGAUAGGUAUUAAAACCAUUGAUCAUUUUAUACAAAUUGUAUUUAAAUAAAAUCUUUUUUUAGGAAGCAUAGGCAACGAUUUAAUAAAUACUGAAUGAAUGCAUAAUUAGAGCGAACAUAUUACAUAGGUAGAUAAACGUUUUUCAUAAAGAAAUUUAACGUUUAUGAGAAUACUGUACUUAGUCGGAAGGAAUUUAUCGAAUAGUUAUUGUGUUCUUUAUUGUUUUAUUAUUAAGUACAACAUUUUAAAACAUUCCACAAACAAUUUGUGUAAACACUAUACCGGAUACCGAUAGGAAGGACUUAAA